GGAAUAUUGGUCAAUGGGCGAGAGCCUGAACCAGCCAUGCCGCGUGCAGGAAGACGGCCUUCUGGGUUGUAAACUGCUUUUCUACAGGAAGAAAAAGGUCAUGCGUCACCAAUUGCCGGUACUGUAGGCAUAAGCACCGGCUAACCCCGGACCAGCAGCCGCGGUAAUACGGAGGGUGCAAGCGUUGUCCGGAUUUAUUGGGUUUAAAGGGUGCGUAGGCGGGUCUUUAAGUCCGUGGUGAAAGCCCAUCGCUCAACGAUGGAACUGCCAUGGAUACUGGGGACCUUGAAUUCAGUUGAGGUAGGCGGAAUUGAUGGUGUAGCGGUGAAAUGCAUAGAUACCAUCAGGAACACCGAUUGCGAAGGCAGCUUACUGGGCUUGAAUUGACGCUGAGGCACGAAAGCGUGGGGAUCGAA
Molecule: ribosomal RNA, 416 nt
Filed under: uncultured bacterium
Lineage: Bacteria
Description: bacterial SSU rRNA
Rfam family: Bacterial small subunit ribosomal RNA
Source: RNAcentral